Molecule: long non-coding RNA, 1580 nt
Organism: Cercocebus atys (sooty mangabey)
Lineage: Eukaryota; Metazoa; Chordata; Mammalia; Primates; Cercopithecidae
Exons: 9
Source: RefSeq, a predicted model, not a curated record
AAAGAAGUGCUUUUGCUGCUUAAUGAAUGAAAAUCAUUGCUUACAAGUAGGAACAAGGAGGGAGUAGAAAAAUUCCCACCCUUUCCUCACAGCUGCCUAAGUGAAUAACCACUCAAUCAAAAAUGGAAUCUGGAAAAUGGAAUCUGGAGUAAAGAAGUUGUGAAACAAAGCAAACAGAAAGGCUCUGCACCAAUCCCAAGGCCCAAAGAUAAGCAUGGGCCUGUGACUUUCUGUGACUGAUAAAACUAUACACGUAAUGGCUGAAGCUCCGUCAGACAUCUUGUAUCACAACCUGGUGUCCCAGGAAAUAAAAAGCAAGCACAGCAAAGCAACGCAAUCUUAGGGUCCUUAUUUCCUAACAAUAUAGUUUCUGUUCUACUGCAGGACCAUUCUUUUGUCCGUGAUAUUUGUGAAAUGGCUGCUGUGGCUGGACUGUGUCCUAGAUGCUGGUGAUGCGUUGGUGAAUAAGACAAACCUUGCUCUGACUGUUGGAAGCUUAUAUUUUCAUGAUGGAAAGACAAACAAUGCACAACUAAAUAAACAAGAUGUUUUUGGAGAGUGACAGAAGAACUAAGAUCAGAUUGAUGGUGAUUUUUCCUGAGUGCCAAAGUUAAGUCAAUGCCACCAGGGAAAGUGGGAGAAGAAACUGCCCUACUAUUCACAUUUAGGGAAUUCUCACUGAAGAUUAAAAGAAGAUAAAGAUCUGCUAGUGGUGGCAAAAUACCCACAGAGGUUCCUCACCCAGUGGACUCCUGUGAAAAUCGACAGAAAGCUAAUUGAAGAGGAGAGGCACGCUGCUUGGCUCUCAUUAGUCUAUUCCUGUGCCAUGCCCACGUGGACCAGUGCAUUCUUUCAUAGCUGAUUGAUAUGUGAUGCCCUCGCACCCCCCAUCCUGACCAAAUGUUCUACAAAGUAGGAGCGAUACUCCAGGAAUCAGCUUGAAUAUUCUACAGAGGAUUGUCCAGUGACUAUAAAAUAAGCUGGAAGCAGAAAUUUCAGUAAUUAGUUCAACUAUAGAAUCAUUACGUGAACUAGAACAAGGAUUAACACAUGGACAUCUUUGGAGGACAAAGAAUGUGGGCAGCCUGGAGAAGCUGGAAAAGGUAAGGAAGAGCAUUCUUCCCUAUAACCUCCAGAAAUGUAAGCAGGAAUAGAAAACUAACAUGCUACCCAAGCUGCCUGAGUUUAUUCUCACUGCACUAAGUUUCACUGUCCUGACAGAUACAGCUGUCCUUCCUCUUAUCCCUAGGUCGGGUCUGCUGAUCUGAGUGACUAGCAGAUGUCAUAUUCAAUUAGUCUCCAGAAUGUCUCUUGCACAGCUCUUUUGUUGCCUGUCUCUACGCCUUUGCUCGUGCUCUUUCCAGUUUUGGAAAUGACUCAGUCAUUGGCUCUGCCUAUUCAAAUCUCCGGUAUUCCUUAAGGUUCUGAUAAUAACCUGUGUCCUUCCUGAAGACUUUUCUACCUACUCCAACUCACUCCAAAUGCUUACAACUGAGAAUUCCAAUUAUUUAGAAUCAAAGACUGGCACUUUUGCUCAGAAUGUUUCAUAUUAGCAAUAUCUCCUCCAAUCCAAACAGUGU